Gallus gallus (chicken) is the source of this 708-nucleotide long non-coding RNA. Lineage: Eukaryota; Metazoa; Chordata; Aves; Galliformes; Phasianidae. The record is from Ensembl.
GUCAUAACAUUACCAAAUUGAAGAGAACUGCUCAGAAUAACAUCUCAAGCACCAUCUCAACCACACGUGCAAAUGAAGAGUGUUGAGAAGUAUCUGAACCUGGAGCAGUCUACACUAAACACCUGGCCACCUCUCAGGAUUCUCAAAAAGGUACACAUGCUGCAGCAUAAGGAGCAAACUGUUGGCAGAUGGCAUUAAAACACCACAGUUCCAUAAUUGAGUCUUAUAUUCAUACAUCCCUGCCAGUUUGGAAUCUAACUGCCAAUAAUACAAUACUGUGAUAUUGCCACAUCCAAUACAAUUGUAUGUUGCUGAAGUUACACUUAAAUCCGCCAGUAAAUUUUAUUCUCCCAGAGCAAAACAUUUUCUCUAUUCUGUUUACAAACAGGACUAUAAAUCCAUGUUCAGUAGUUCUAUUUUGAAUGAAAACUGAACUCUCCUCCCCAAAGAGCUCUCACAUAGUUAUUGACAGUGCCAGUAUGAAAACGCUAGGUUCUGUUUAUUUCAUUGCAGCAUUUGUUUUAGAUUUCUCUUACUAGAAUGCAAAAUGGCACAACUGACGUAGUAAAUGCUUUUGAAAGCCUGCUGAGCUAGGAGUAAAAUACGCAAGCUUUGCCAUAUUGAUUGUCUGAAGUCUACAAAGUCAGAAGACUUGAACAGCUACAGCGUCUGCUUCUGAAUCAGCAGAGGUAGUAAUUGUAAUCCAAG